Non-coding RNA from Vicugna pacos (alpaca), 99 nucleotides. The record is from RefSeq and is a predicted model, not a curated record. NCBI's taxonomy places the organism in Eukaryota, Metazoa, Chordata, Mammalia, Artiodactyla, Camelidae.
CAAGACGCUCUUCAGAUUUUGUUUGUUUUUUCCCCCGUCUUCCUCAAAUGUCUGUUGAUCCUUGGUCAUCUGUGUCUAUUUAGGAGGGAGCAGAAGUAC